UGGGCAGUAGCUUAGUGGUAGAGCUUCCGCUUUAUACGUGGAAAGAUCUGGGUUCGAUUCCAGGCUGCUUCC
This 72-nucleotide transfer RNA is filed under the name Toxocara canis (dog roundworm). It matches the Rfam family "tRNA". Rfam says of the family: Transfer RNA (tRNA) molecules are approximately 80 nucleotides in length. Their secondary structure includes four short double-helical elements and three loops (D, anti-codon, and T loops). Further hydrogen bonds mediate the characteristic L-shaped molecular structure. tRNAs have two regions of fundamental functional importance: the anti-codon, which is responsible for specific mRNA codon recognition, and the 3' end, to which the tRNAs corresponding amino acid is attached (by aminoacyl-tRNA synthetases). tRNAs cope with the degeneracy of the genetic code in two manners: having more than one tRNA (with a specific anti-codon) for a particular amino acid; and 'wobble' base-pairing, i.e. permitting non-standard base-pairing at the 3rd anti-codon position. Lineage: Eukaryota; Metazoa; Nematoda; Chromadorea; Rhabditida; Toxocaridae. The record is from Rfam by way of RNAcentral.